UACGGGGGGGGCUAGCGUUGUUCGGAAUUACUGGGCGUAAAGGGCGCGUAGGCGGCCUACUAAGUCGGACGUGAAAUCCCUCGGCUCAACCGGGGAACUGCGUCCGAUACUGGUGGGCUCGAAUCCGGGAGAGGGAUGUGGAAUUCCAGGUGUAGCGGUGAAAUGCGUAGAUAUCUGGAGGAACACCGGUGGCGAAGGCAGCAUCCUGGACCGGUAUUGACGCUGAUGCGCGAAAGCCAGGGGAGCAAACAGG
Molecule: ribosomal RNA, 253 nt
Filed under: uncultured bacterium
Lineage: Bacteria
Description: partial 16S ribosomal RNA
Rfam family: Bacterial small subunit ribosomal RNA
Source: RNAcentral